UUGUAGGCUGAAACUCGCCUACAUGAAGCUGGAAUUGCUAGUAAUCACAGGUCAGCAUACUGUGGUGAAUACGUUCCCGGGCCUUGUACACACCGCCCGUCACACCAUGAGAGUUGAGAAUACCCGAAGCCCAUGUCAAAGUGGUCGAAGGUAGGCUUGAUGAUUGGGGUGAAGUCGUAACAAGGUAAC
RNAcentral lists this ribosomal RNA (189 nucleotides) under uncultured bacterium. RNAcentral's name for it is "partial 16S ribosomal RNA". It matches the Rfam family "Bacterial small subunit ribosomal RNA", at positions 1298 to 1500 of the family's 1533-position model. The record is from RNAcentral.